This 557-nucleotide ribosomal RNA is filed under the name Xylaria sp. SGLAf26. RNAcentral describes it as "eukaryotic LSU rRNA". It matches the Rfam family "Eukaryotic large subunit ribosomal RNA", at positions 66 to 647 of the family's 3401-position model. Lineage: Eukaryota; Fungi; Ascomycota; Sordariomycetes; Xylariales; Xylariaceae. The record is from RNAcentral.
CAACAGGGAUUGCCCUAGUAACGGCGAGUGAAGCGGCAACAGCUCAAAUUUGAAAUCUGGCCUUCGGGUCCGAGUUGUAAUUUGUAGAGGAUGCUUUUGGCGCGGUGCCUUCCGAGUUCCCUGGAACGGGACGCCUUAGAGGGUGAGAGCCCCGUACGGUUGGACACCAAGCCUCUGUAAAGCUCCUUCGACGAGUCGAGUAGUUUGGGAAUGCUGCUCUAAAUGGGAGGUAAAUUUCUUCUAAAGCUAAAUAUUGGCCAGAGACCGAUAGCGCACAAGUAGAGUGAUCGAAAGAUGAAAAGCACUUUGAAAAGAGGGUUAAAUAGCACGUGAAAUUGUUGAAAGGGAAGCGUUUGCGACCAGACCUUUUCCUGGUGGAUCAUCCGGUGUUCUCACCGGUGCACUUCGCUAGGUUGAGGCCAGCAUCGGUUUCCGUAGGGGGAUAAAAGCUUGGGGAAUGUAGCUCCUUCGGGAGUGUUAUAGCCCCUUGCAUAAUACCCUUAUGGGGACCGAGGACCGCGCUUCGGCAAGGAUGCUGGCGUAAUGGUCGUCAACGA